This 501-nucleotide long non-coding RNA is filed under the name Mus musculus (house mouse). RNAcentral describes it as "Klgm3". Lineage: Eukaryota; Metazoa; Chordata; Mammalia; Rodentia; Muridae. The record is from RNAcentral.
CGCCGAAUCGGGAGCUGAGUGGGGGUUUCCCCACUGAGUUCUUUCAUUUGGAGGUCCCACCGAGAUCUGCGUGACACCCAGGAACCCCGAAGGACCCCUUGGAGGUGCCGCAUCAGUUUGAAGUAGGAGACGCAGUCCUGGUGAGGAGACACCGAGCGGGAAACCUAGAACCGAGGUGGAAGGGACCCUACUUGGUGCUACUGACAACGCCCACCGCGGUCAAAGUGGAAGGAAUCCCCACUUGGGUCCACGCAUCCCACGUUAAGAGAGCACCCCCUGGAGUCAGCCAUGAUGAGUGGACUUUAGAGAAGACUACUAAUCCUUUUAAGUUGCGCCUGCUUCGUAGGAGCGAUCCCAAAAGACUUCAACCCCCACAGUCCUGUUCAACAAACGUGGGAGGUACUCAAUGAGGGGGGUAGGGCUGUAUGGACAAUCGCUGAGGUACACCCUCUGUGGACUUGGUGGCCUAAUCUUUUCCCUGACAUCUGUAAGUUGGCUAUA